AGACCUUUAGUUUGAACCCCGAAACCAGGUGAGCUACCCCGAGACAGCCUAUAUUGAUUUAGGGCUAACCCGUCUCUGUGGCAAAAGAGUGGGAAGAGCUCCGGGUAGAAGUGACAGACCUACCGAACCUGGUGAUAGCUGGUUGCCUGAGAAGUGGAUAGAAGUUCAGCCUCGCACACCCCAAGCCAGAGAAUACACCGCUAAGGCACUCAGGGAAAUGUGGGAGAGUUAGUUAAAGGGGGUACAGCCCCUUUAACAAAGGAUACAACCUUUGCAGGAGGAUAAAGAUCAUAAUAUAUAAAACAUGCUGCUCUAGUGGGCCUAAAGGCAGCCACCUAAACAGAAAGCGUUAAAGCUCAGGCAGAAAGAAGUUUAUUAUACCGAUAAAAAAUCUUACUCCCCUAAUUAUAUCAGGCCAACCCAUGCCAACAUGGAAGAGAUUAUGCUAAAAUGAGUAACAAGAAGACCUGCUCUUCUCCCAGCACAAGUGUAAGCCAGAUCGGACUAACCGCUGGAACUUAACGAACCCAACCCAAGAGGGUAGUGUGAAUAGUACAGACCCCAAGAAGAACUCACAACUAAACAAUCGUUAACCCCACACUGGAGUGCUAUUAUAAAGGAAAGACUAAAAGAGGGGGAAGGAACUCGGCAAACACAAGCCUCGCCUGUUUACCAAAAACAUCGCCUCCUGCAACUAUAUUGAGUAUAGGAGGUCCAGCCUGCCCAGUGACUACGGGUUCAACGGCCGCGGUAUUUUGACCGUGCAAAGGUAGCGCAAUCACUUGUCUCUUAAAUAGAGACCUGUAUGAAUGGCUAGACGAGGGCUUAACUGUCUCCCCCCUCCAGUCAGUGAAAUUGAUCUAUCCGUGCAGAAGCGGGUAUAAUUAUACAAGACGAGAAGACCCUUUGGAGCUUAAGGUACAAAAUCCAACCACGUUAAACGACCCCCUAAAGGGCAAGAACUUAGUGGCCAAUGAAGUUUUACCUUCGGUUGGGGCGACCACGGAGGAGAAAAAAGCCUCCGAGUGGACUGGGUUAAAACCCAAAGCUAAGAGAUACAUCUCUAAGCCGCAGAACAUCUGACCAAAAGUGAUCCGGCUAAAAAGCCGAUCAACGAACCAAGUUACCCUAGGGAUAACAGCGCAAUCCUCUCCCAGAGUCCAUAUCGACGAGGGGGUUUACGACCUCGAUGUUGGAUCAGGACAUCCUAAUGGUGCAGCCGCUAUUAAGGGU
Molecule: ribosomal RNA, 1233 nt
Filed under: Alburnus tarichi (tarek)
Lineage: Eukaryota; Metazoa; Chordata; Actinopteri; Cypriniformes; Leuciscidae
Description: partial large subunit ribosomal RNA
Rfam family: Bacterial large subunit ribosomal RNA
Source: RNAcentral